ACUUCAAACCUUUGAUGAAUUCUUGAUCAAAUUGACAAAUAAAGUACAUGGGGAUCCAUAUAUGAUGCUUAGAACCAUGGUGAACCUUUCCUUGAUUGAUCUCUUUCAUUGAGGGAGUCAAGCCCUAGAUAUGAGCUUGAUAGGGCACAAAUGGAUGCACACACUACCUACAAAAGAAAUGAAACUAUACUAGACAUAUUUUUGGUAUUUUGGUUAGUAAACAAAAGAAAAUAAAGUAUGAUACAUUAAAAUGUGUUUGGUGAUAUCUCCCAAUGCAAACCCAAUGAAUGAGGGGUAAGGAGGAUACCAAGGUGUGAUCCCAAAGCCAAUGCAAAUGAUGAGAUAGUAUGAGGGAUCUUAAGGUUAAAAUUUGGGUCUUACAGUUACCACUGUCAUCAACAGGACGAAUGUAGCCAUAAACUACCAUAUAUCAUAUAUCCACAUCAUGACCAAGAAAAAUACUUUCUAUUUUAUCAUUCCAAUAGUCAAAAUUUUAUCCAUUAAAGACUGAAGUUUUGGCACGAUAAUGGUCUCUUUCAUUGUUACUAGCGGGUGCAGUUGGUGGAGGAAUUUCUGCCAGAAUGUUUCAAAAGUCUGGAUCUUUAUCUAACACAAUGAAGUGUUGGAUACACAAUCAAUACCAGAACCAGAGCUCUGAUUCUAAUUUAACGUAAUGGAAACACAAGAAAGGGGGUUUGAAUUGGGUUUCAAGAAAUAUAACUUUUGCAACCCAAAGAUGCAAAUAGAAAACUAAGAACAAAAAUAAUGAACUCGAUUAUUUUUAUCAUGGUUUGCUAUUAACAAGGUGAUUUCGCCUUAUCACAAGGACUUAAUCCACUAUAAUCAAACUUGAUUACAACAAAAAGACCAACUGUCAAUGUCUUUCUGAGUAAUUCUGACUAAAUCCUAGUCACUCAAGAAAAUACAAUCACAAAGAUUGAGAUGCAAAAUGUGUUUACAAAAUGCUUCUGAGAAAGAAAAAUACACAAAUGAAUUACAAGUAUAGCACAUAAAAUAUAUAUUCUAUGAUGAGUAUGAACAAAAAUUCAUUGUGUGUAUGUUUCUUUUCUUUUCUCUCAAAAUAUUUCAUAAAACUCAUUAUUCAUGUAUAUGUUAAUCUCUUAGAGUGUAGCACAAUUCAAUUCUUCCAAGUCUUCUUUAUAUAGGCAAGGAAGAGAUCCAUUGGAGGGUAAAAUUGGAAUACUUAAAUGCAAUUGUAUCUUUGCAUAACGGUCUGUGAAAAUGAGAGACAAAAUGAUACAAUAGUCAGUCCUUAGUCCACAAAAUCAUUGUAGUGGAUGAAUAUUUGAUCUUGUACUGUGUACUAUUUUCUCACGUAAAACCUUUUUGAUCUUAUCUUCAAUUUUCAGAGGCUUCUGAUAAAGAGGUAAUGAAGCAUGUAUAGAAGGAAGAAUAAGAGUCUGGUUGAGAGAAUCUUCAGAAACUUUGUCUUCAGAGUCUUGAUCCAGUUCAUCAGAACAUGGUCUUUAGAGUCUGGUGACACAAUUCAUCCGAAUUUUUUAAGCGCACGACUCCAGAGCUUGACAACGUCAAAAUCGGACUUAUGAAAUGAAAGUUAUGACCAAAAUCGUCGGGAUGUGUCAACAAUUCAUUAACCGAACGUAAGAACAAAAACUUCACCAACACAGUAGGCAUAGGAAUAAUAUUCAAUCAAUUCACUUAUCACCAUCACAUUAUAUCUCUUAGAGUCACCUUUCUAAUGCUUUAAACCCCAACCCAAAAUGAUUCACGAGUUGAAAGUUAUAAUCAAAACCGUGCACGAAGGCGUUACUAAAAAGUUGUUAUUUUCUAAAUUUUCCGACAUAAUUUUCAUCUUUUUCAACCCCAAAAACGUCCAUGAAAUAAUCUCCAAAAUUAUUUUAUUCCUGAAACAAAGUUAUAGCCCUCUGUUUCAGAUAUCCAACGCUUCAAACGACACUCGAUUUAGACUUACGGAUCAAAAGUUAUGGCCAAAACGAUUUCGAUCAAAAAACACAAUAAAAUGCUCGUGAUUGUGAGAGACAGAAUGCAUAAUUUUCUGCGUUUUUCAUCGUUGGAGGCCUUCCGGGUCUCCGAUUUCGAUUCCGUAAAAAGCUAAACAUUCAGUAAAUUACAACCCAUGCAAUACUAUAAUUAUCUAAUAAUUUACAGUUUUAACACAAUUAAAUCAUCUAAUCACUGUUUCAAGAUUAUGCCUGAAACCUUCAAAAUUGCAACAAUGGUGAAUAUAAGUUCAAUCAUCAAAAUAGAAAAUUACACACAUAUAAGACACAUGACAUUUAUCAUAUAAUCAUCAUGGCAUCCAAAUUCAAAAUUAUGAAUCAAAACACUCAACCUUAAGGAGGUUAAGGGUUCCUCCAUUCUAUCAUUCUAUCAUACCCUUUACUAUUGGAACAAGUUCUCACCCUUACCUUAGAUUUUCCAACAAGAUGCACACUUCAAGCUCUAACAAUGGAGUUUUCUUUUAGCCAUAUCUCUUCCCUCUUCUCACCACAAAAUUCUAUUUUACGUAAAACCCUCCAAACUCUCUUACUAACCUUUUUAUCAUUAACCUAAUCCCCCUCAAUUAGGAACUUCCACCAUUGCCCUCACUUAUCAUAUUAUUUACCACCAUAUCCCUUUUGACUCUAAUUUUCUUUUAAUAAAAUAAUACUAAUAAUAUUCUUCUUUUUCUCGAUCGUAUUUCUACUCUUUUAUUUUAUUCCAAUCAAUUAAAUAAAAUAGUUAUAGGUUAAUUAUUAAAAAUUCUCAUUAUCCCCAUUAAAUAAGUAAAAUAAUUAAAUUUCAUUAUUUAAUUAAGAUGCUCAUAUUCUAGUUAUUUAAUUAAAUAAAAUAGUUAUAGGUUAAUUAUUAAAAAUUCUCAUUAUCCCCAUUAAAUAAGUAAAAUAAUUAAAUUUCAUUAUUUAAUUAAGAUGCUCAUAUUCUAGUUAUUUUUAUUUAUUUAUUUAAUUAAUUCAAAUAAUACACUAUUUAUUUCAAUCACUAAUUAAAAUUCUAAUUAAUUAUCAACAACUAUACCAAAUUCUUAUUGCCUCCAUACUUCUAUUUCAAGGAUACCUACCCCCACAAUCAUACACAAUUAAUUUAAAACACACAUUAAUCAUAUAAAAAUCUAAAUAAUUCAAAUUAAUUAAUUAAUUAAAUUCGGGGUGUUACAGGUGACACAAUUCAUCAGAAUUUUUUAAGCGCACGACUUCAGAGCUGAACAAUGUCAAAAUCUUCUGAGUCAUAAAGCUUUGGAUAAACUAUGUUCAGAAGCGUUGAGUACAGAAUCCAAAGCUUGUUUAUCUUGUAGAACACACAUCUUAGAGUCAAAGUGCACUAGGUUCAGAAUCUGAUGUUGUCACACAUCAUUCUAUCAAAGUCAAAACUCAUCUAGUAUUUGCACACUAAACAAAACCAUUAAGAUACAAAAUUGUUCUCUAAAAAUCUAUGUAUUGUUAUUACCAAAACAUAAAGUUAGAUGCAGAACCAAAUCUUAUUCUUAUAAAAUUACCAUAAUUUUAUUUUAUUGAAAUUUAUAAUAUAUCCUUCUCUUGACAAUGUGUGGUCCAAAUUUUUUUUUCCAAUAAUUGAAAAAUACUAUUAGUUUUUUAGAUUAUUUUUUUUUUCUUUUUUCUAGACUAAAGAGGAUAUUCAUUACUAAACUAAUAUAUAAGUGUUCACAGGGACCAAGUUACUCAUUCAUCUUCUUUCUCAUAGUCCAUCAUUUGUGAUAUUAGUUCUAACAAUGUUAUCACUAGUACUUCUCCUUGCUAUAGGUGCUUAAUUCUCUCUCCUAAUCUCUCCGCUAAAACACAAAACCACUAAACAUUUUCCACCUGGUCCUAAAGGCCUUCCCAUAAUAGGAAAUCUUCACCAACUAGACCUCCUUAAUAUUAGUGUUCAACUUGCAGACUUUUCAAAAAUAUAUGGUCCUAUAUUUUCACUUAAACUUGGUUCAAGACAAGCUAUUGUAGUUUCUUCAUCUGAAAUUGCCAAAGAAAUUUUUAAAAAAAAUGACCAUACGUUUUCUGACAGACCUCAAUUAUAUAGCCAACAAAAAUUAUCUUAUAACGGAUCAGAAGUUUUAUUUUCACAAUACAAUGAAUCUUGGAGAGAUAUAAGAAAAAUUUGUGUUAUUCAUAUUUUUAGUUCCAUACGUGUAGCAUAUUAUUCUUCCAUAAGAAACUUUGAGGUGAGGAAACUGAUUAAAAAAAUAUCAGAAAAUGCUAAUUCUUCAAGUGUUACAAAUAUGAGUGAGGUAUUGAUAUCUCUUGCAAGUUCUCUAAUAUGUAACAUUGCUUUUGGAAAAACCUUUGAAAAUGAAGGACCUGAGAGUAGUAGUAGGUUUCCUGAAAUGUUGCAUGAGUUUCAAGCUUUGCUAGCAGAAACUUUUGUUGCUGAUUAUAUUCCAUUUACGGGUUGGAUUGAUAAAGCGAGAGGAUUGCAUGGUCGUCUUGAUAAAAUUUACAAGGAGUUUGAUAAGUUUUAUCAAGAGAUUAUUGAUGAACAUUUGGAUCCAAA
RNAcentral lists this long non-coding RNA (4506 nucleotides) under Lathyrus oleraceus (garden pea). RNAcentral describes it as "Pisum sativum (pea) long non-coding RNA (PSAT_LNC032210)". Lineage: Eukaryota; Viridiplantae; Streptophyta; Magnoliopsida; Fabales; Fabaceae. The record is from RNAcentral.